This is a long non-coding RNA of Rhododendron vialii, 1541 nucleotides long. RefSeq lists it as uncharacterized. Lineage: Eukaryota; Viridiplantae; Streptophyta; Magnoliopsida; Ericales; Ericaceae. The record is from RefSeq and is a predicted model, not a curated record. The transcript is spliced from 2 exons.
AAAUUCUGCUCACUCACAGAUGCAACCUCCCUGAUGUGAUCACAGCUCCCUCUCCUUCUACUUGCUCCUCCAUCCUCUCGUCCAGCAGCAACCAGCAACGCCGCCGACAGCCAACGCCUCCACUGAAACCCCCCACACCAUCUUUCAUCCCCUUCCCCUUCUCCAGCAGCCCAGCCCCCAUUCUACCCCGACUAUUUCUCAACACGUGUCAAAAAAUUGGGAAAAGAAGCUCUUAAUUUCCAUGAAAUUCUAGGGAUGACCGAACAUAUGGGAUCCAAUUAAGGGAUUUCUACCUGCAUGAAUUCUCAGUAAACAACAAACUGACCCUUGAGUUGGGAUCUAUUUCUCCAUACAUUGUACGUCCAGUGCGUUUGAGAUUGCAUAUACCCUGGGCUAUCAACAAAGGACGCAAUUGUUUUGCCACGAAACUCCAUAAUUCGUCCAUUAAAAGAGUACCCAGUUGAGAAUUACAAUUCAUAUAUCUCUAUCAAAGCCUCAGAUAAAUUAUUCUGCCAUAAAUAUUGAAGUUAAUUUAUGAAUGAAUUCCUCAUUGGAUCUUUAAUUAAAAAGGGGCAAUCGACUGAGAAGAGAAAAGGGAAGGCAAUAGCCAACGGAUCUUGGCAAUUGGGGGAGAUCGAUGGCGGUUGGGUAAGGGGAAGGGACCAAGUUCUGGCUCAGUUUGGAUAGGGCCACCUAUACAGUUCGGUAGCAACGAGAAGGGGAAGGGGCUUGAUCAGGUGAGGGAAGGCACAUGUGUGUUGCACAAAUUUGUGUUGUGGCAGCCCUCUACAGCAUUUACAUUUAUUCCAGUUGGGUUGGGGGCUCGUGGUUGGCACUGGAUGAAGGAGCAGGUAGAAGAAGAGGGAGCCGUGAUCACAUAAGGGAGGUUGCAUGUGUGAAAGUAAGCAGAAAUUACGUGGGGACGAGUUUCGGUGAGGUGUCGUUAGUUUAGCGGGUGUCCGUUCUACACUAGAUGAACAGAGGGGCCGUGCAAAAUUUAAUCUCAACUACAUAAAUCAAAAAGUUUUGAAACGCCUGCAACUGAAUGAGUGAUACAGAGACUUAAACAGCGGCAGUUUUAAAUGGUGCUAACAGGAAAUGAUUUUCUUUGGACCUUGUUGAUCCAAUUGGUUUUGGAGCACUAACGUCCGGUAACCUUCUAUCCAAUCUCCACCCAAAAAUUAAAGAAAACUAAUUAAUUUUCAGGGAAGCUGGGUUGGGGCCUGUUCAACCUUGAAAUAUCCUUCCUAUAACAAAAAACCUGACAAUAUCCUAGGCAAGCUUAAAUAAUAUGAGCCUGCAAAGAUGAAAAUGGUGUGAGCUAGACCAGGACUUUAAUGUAGCCAAAUGAAAAUUGUUACUUAGAGAGAGAGAGAGAGAGAGAGAGAGAGAGAGAGAGAGAGAGAGAGAGAAGAGGUUAAAAAAAAACAGGUACAGAAUAUCUCCCAAUAAAUGGUUCUAAAACUGCAUCAGAUAUUUGGCAAUUAAGGCUCCCACACAAACGAACUAUAAGAAGCACACUACGUGACUACGACAAAUUG